CCUACGGGAGGCAGCAGUCGAGAAUCAUUCACAAUGGGGGAAACCCUGAUGGUGCGACGCCGCGUGGGGGAAUGAAGUUCUUCGGAUUGUAAACCCCUGUCAUGUGGGAGCAAAUUAAAAAGAUAGUACCACAAGAGGAAGAGACGGCUAACUCUGUGCCAGCAGCCGCGGUAAUACAGAGGUCUCAAGCGUUGUUCGGAAUCACUGGGCGUAAAGCGUGCGUAGGCUGUUUCGUAAGUCGUGUGUGAAAGGCGAGGGCUCAACCCGCGGACGGCACAUGAUACUGCGAGACUAGAGUAAUGGAGGGGGAACCGGAAUUCUCGGUGUAGCAGUGAAAUGCGUAGAUAGCGGGAGGAACACUCGUGGCGAAGGCGGGUUCCUGGACAUUAACUGACGCUGAGGCACGAAGGCCAGGGGAGCGAAAGGGAUUAGAUACCCUGGUAGUC
Molecule: ribosomal RNA, 446 nt
Filed under: uncultured bacterium
Lineage: Bacteria
Description: partial 16S ribosomal RNA
Rfam family: Bacterial small subunit ribosomal RNA
Source: RNAcentral